Pseudophryne corroboree (corroboree frog) is the source of this 1489-nucleotide long non-coding RNA. RefSeq lists it as uncharacterized. The transcript has 2 exons. The record is from RefSeq and is a predicted model, not a curated record. Lineage: Eukaryota; Metazoa; Chordata; Amphibia; Anura; Myobatrachidae.
AAGCGGCUCCAGGCCAGACAAGGUGGCUGGCUGACAGCACAGUGCCCAAGGGAGGGGAGGAUCUGCUGGGAAUAGGCAUGCAGUCCAAUUAGUUAGUGUUAGAGGCAGCCUCUCUCCUCCUUCUCCCCCCUUCUCCCUUCCCCUCUGUGGCACGUUUUAUUAUUGCUAGCCGCGCACCCGUUCUGGAGCUCCCUACUGCUGCCGGCUCAGAUUAAUGAGCUGCCCUGCCAGUGGCCGCCUGAACGGAGCAGCAUGCUUGUAUUAUUGCUAGCCAGCCCCCCACAUGCUAUGUUGCUGGCACUCCCUCCCGCUGCAGGGCGGCUCAGCUCAGAUGGGCAGCACAAACGAAGAGACGCUGGUGGCUACCCCUGCCCCACAAACCACCACCAGAGCCGGUCCUGCCAAUCAAAGACCACAGCCCCACCUCCCACCGUGACCACAGCUUGCUGGGGUGUAUGCCCCUUAGAGAAAAUUGGAAGCUGCAAUAGAGUAUACUUGCAGCAUCAAUGAUGUGAAACUAAGAGGAUCUGCACUCCACACACUAUCAAAAUCCCUUCCGGCUUGCGGUCCAUAACUAGGAAGUGACGUAUCGCGGGGGACUACAGUCGCGUUCACUCUGUUUUGGAGAAGAUCGGUCCGUUACCAGGAAGGGCCGCGUUGUUUGCGGUCCGUAACCAGGAAGUGACGUAUCGCUGCAGUCCGGAGCCGGGUCUAUAGAAUGAGAAUGACGUAUCAGGAGUGGUCGAGUGGAAAGCUGAUAAGAACUGUAUAUGGAGUGGUGGACGUGCGGUUGCUAUGACAACCUAAUAACCAAUCACAAAACAGUGUGAUGAUAAGAAUUAUGGGUAUGGAGGAAAUUUUAAGUUGUGGAGAGUAGAGUAGGAUGGAAUGGGUUCAUUUAUAAUGAAGUUAAUAGAAGUAUUGAUGUUCCCUCUGAUACGUAUCAACUUUUAGAUAUAACCAAUUUAGAAAAUUAAAUGAAUAAAACUAUAGAUAUACUGUUUGUUUUAUGAAUUUAUGUAUAAAUGGAGAUUAAUUGUAAUGUCUGUUAAUGAAUAUAAGUAUAAAGAAUUAUAUUUAUUAGGAAUUAAGGUUGUUUAGGAGGAGAAAUUAUAUGAUUGGUGGAUGGAAUCAGGUGACCAAGGUUAUAGGGUAUAUAAACCCCAGUUGUUUUGUUUGACUUUAUACCCUGAGGAAGGAAAGGAUUCCGAAACGCGUUGGUGUUCUGGAGAAUCCCUGAUAGCUGUGGUCCAUUCGUGUUUAACCCUAUUGGUUUUUGACGUUUUUUGAUGACAUCUUGGAGGAACACUGUAUCAUAGACCUUUCCCGGGAAUGGUAUGGUGAGGAGUGUCUCCUCUUAAAGAAAUUCUUCCAUAACCUUUGGGGUUUAGAGUGGAACAAAACAACUUUCAGCUAGAUCAGGAAGAGAUACAGCAUUUAUGUUUUUAUAUGGACUGUUUUUUAUGAAGAAAUAAACUGUUUUUAUGAA